CACGUGUCUUCGGUUUUGUUUUCCAUUGGUCGACUACAUCGCAGAUGCACCUCUUGGUGGAGGUGGCGUGUGUGUGUUUGCGAGUGAGUGAGUUGACGGAAUCGACAAUGAUGAGAUGACCACAAACACUGCCGGUGAUGUCUGAUGCCAUGAUUGCUGUCAACCUUGGUCAGACAAACUACCGGUCAACAGCUGGCCAUGCUUUUGGUGUUAUUUACUGUACUGUUUGAUGUGUAACUUGUUGGAUGGAUAGUCUUGCUGGUUCAAGACUCGCCAAUGUAGAUGUUAGAGAAGCUACUAUGAAAACAGUUGUUUCUUUAGCAAUAAACAUUAAGAAACAAAA
This is a long non-coding RNA of Haliotis rubra (blacklip abalone), 343 nucleotides long. RefSeq lists it as uncharacterized. The transcript has 2 exons. NCBI's taxonomy places the organism in Eukaryota, Metazoa, Mollusca, Gastropoda, Lepetellida, Haliotidae. The record is from RefSeq and is a predicted model, not a curated record.